RNAcentral lists this ribosomal RNA (501 nucleotides) under Chrysolina fastuosa. Its description in RNAcentral is "partial 12S small subunit ribosomal RNA". The record is from RNAcentral. Lineage: Eukaryota; Metazoa; Arthropoda; Insecta; Coleoptera; Chrysomelidae.
AAAUAAUAUAAUUUAAUUUAAUUAGUAUUAAUUAAUUUAUAAUAAUUAAUUUUGAGAUAAAAUUUAUUAGGUGAAAUUUUUAAAUUUUAAAAAAAAAUUAUUUUAAUGAGGUUAAAAAAUUUAAUAAAUAAACUAGGAUUAGAUACCCUAUUAUUUUAAAUGUAGUUUUAUAAGCUAAAUUAGUAUCAGUUAUGUUCUUUAAAAUUAAAGAUUUUGGCGGUAUUUUAGUCUAUUCAGAGGAACCUGUUCUAUAAUUGAUAAUCCACGAUUUAAUUUACUUUUUUUAUUAGUUUGUAUAUCGUCGUAAUUUGAAUAUUUUAUAAGAAUAAUAAUAUUCAAGAUUUUUUAUAAUAAAAAUAAAUCAGAUCAAGGUGCAGUUUAUAAAAAAGAAGAAAUGGGUUACAAUAAAAUUAUUUAAGGAUUAUUAUUUAUAAAAUAAUAUAAAUUUGGAUUUGAUAGUAAAUUUAAUUAAUUAAUUAAAUUGAUUUUUAGCUCUAAAAU